CCCGCCCCUCGGCUGGGGUUCGGCCGCGCUCUUCAGCCGCGGGGCGCCUCCCAAGCUUGCCGGCGCGUCGGAGCCCGGCGGUCGGGAUCGGUGGCCCCGCGCGGCAGGUCUGGGGGGACCUGAGAGUUUCGUUUUUUCUCCGUCCCCAGGUGACGCGAAUGCUGGUUGGGAACACACUCUGAGGACCAUUAAGAGUCUCUAAAUAGGUCGCCUCCACUCGUGGGGGUUGACCAUGCCUUCUCGGGAAUGUGAAACAAGAAGCCGUCAACGAGGCACCCCGCGGGGCCGCGCGUCCCCGCCGCGCGCCGGCAUUGUCGCCGCAGGCCCGCAGGACUGCUUCUUCACCCUUUUGAAGAAGCCCGUUCUGCGAAAGGAGGAUAAAACUUGAAAAAGCUCUGUUCAGAAGCUGGGUGGGUUGGGGGGCAGUAUAUGAGUGACUGCUAUGUAUUUUAACUACCAGAUUUUUUAAUAUUUGCCACUGUUAAAUAGUCGGUUAGGGAAAGUUCUGAUUAAGCUAACGUGGUGUUACCCUCGCAGCUUAUUUCAGAACAAGUCUGAUAUCUCAGAUUCCUCCUUCUUGGCUUCAUACUCUGAGCUGUUACUGUGCGUUUUUCUGUAUGGACCUGCUUAUGUGCACAAUACAUCCACAUCUUUUUGUUGUUGUUGUUUGUUUUUAUAAGAAGAAGCAAUCAAGAAAGAUAAUGUGAAAAAGAAAGGAACUUAGAGGUAGGGGAAAGAAUGUCAGACACUUGAAUAACUGUAGGAAAAUGAUAAAUACUUUAAAUAAACUUGAGAAAAUUUUCUUGACAUGCAAAUGAGGUAGUUCUGAUCUUUGAGAUAGUGACUAGAAGUACCAUCUGUUUCCGCGAUGGUCGCCAACCGGGAUGAAGUGUGGGAUGUAGUGGGAUUCCGGAACGGCACUUCCAGUCCAGUGAGUCCAUGACCCGCGGACCUGCCCCUGGAAUAGCUUCUACUGUGGAAGUAGGACAGGUGAUCUUCUGAGCCGUUGACUGAACUGGCAAAAACAACUGUUACAGAUUGGAAUUUCAUCUUGUAAGUAGGAAAUGAACGAAAUAAAGACUCAUCCUGAGAGGAGAAAAAAAAAGCCCGUCCUACACUGUCUGCAGAAUUCAGCGCGCGCUGAAAUGCGACUCGCGUGGCCGAGCCCGCAGGGGCAGCUUCCGCCGGCCUGGCGCGGUCGCGUUUCCAGGGAGACGCCCGGAGGAGGCCGGCCUCCCGCCCUGGCAGGGCGCCACGGCGUUGCUGAGGGUGCCAGAGCAACCUGGCUUCAGCCGAAGAGCAGAACGAAAUGCUUCAGGUUACCGGUACAGAUUGAAACCCCGGUGGCACCUGCCACGGUCUACAGCUUCACGCACUGCCCCGCAGCACAAAGGCGUCCGUGGGACACCAAGGCCUGUGAUGGCACUUAGCUAUCCCAGAGUCCUAAUAGCCAGGUUCCUCCACCCAGUCCCACACAGCGAUUGUGCUCAGAAUCCUAACAGCAACAGCCACUGGGCCGAGGUGGCGCCAGUGAGGAGGGCAUAGCCGCGGUGCCUGGCCUCAGAGGCACGGCAGGAGAAGCGCGUCCUUCUGCGCCCUAUGCACUCUAAGCUUCCCACGACAUAAGGGUGCCAGGCAAUGGCUUGGGCUCAUCCUCCUGCAAUCCCUCCCGGGCUGUUGUGAGUCUCCCCACAUCAGCACAUCCUAGUGAGGGUUGGCAGGGAGCAGUGCUCGAGCACCUGGACAGCGGCCAUGCAGUGUGGAGCUGGACGUGCUGUGCAGAAGCAGAACCUGUGGGCUUCUGCUUCCCAAGCCUCACAGGUGAAAGACAAAAAUAAAUAAACAAAUAAAACUCUCAA
Long non-coding RNA from Microcebus murinus (gray mouse lemur), 1859 nucleotides. RefSeq lists it as uncharacterized. The record is from RefSeq and is a predicted model, not a curated record. Lineage: Eukaryota; Metazoa; Chordata; Mammalia; Primates; Cheirogaleidae.